RNAcentral lists this ribosomal RNA (381 nucleotides) under uncultured bacterium. Its description in RNAcentral is "bacterial SSU rRNA". It matches the Rfam family "Bacterial small subunit ribosomal RNA", at positions 425 to 793 of the family's 1533-position model. The record is from RNAcentral.
GUAAAGCACUUUCAGUAGGGAGGAAGGUAGUGUAGUUAACACCUGCACUAUUUGACGUUACCUACAGAAGAAGCACCGGCUAACUCCGUGCCAGCAGCCGCGGUAAUACGGAGGGUGCGAGCGUUAAUCGGAAUUACUGGGCGUAAAGCGCAUGCAGGCGGCCUGUUAAGUCAGAUGUGAAAGACCCGGGGCGUUAACCUCGGAAUUGCAUUUGAAACUAGGCAGGCUAGAGUCUUGUAGAGGGGGGUAGGAAUUUCAGGUGUAGCGGUGAAAUGCGUAGAGAUCUGAAGGAAUACCAGUGGCGAAGGCGGCCCCCUCGGACAAAGACUGACGCUCAGAUGCGAAAGCGUGGGGAGCAAACAGGAUUAGAUACCCUGGUAG